UACAGAGGGGGCAAGCGUUGUUCGGAAUUACUGGGCGUAAAGGGCGCGUAGGCGGCCUUCUAAGUCGAACGUGAAAUCCCCGGGCUCAACCCGGGAACUGCGUCCGAUACUGGAAGGCUUGAAUCCGGGGGAGGGAUGCGGAAUUCCAGGUGUAGCGGUGAAAUGCGUAGAUAUCUGGAGGAACACCGGUGGCGAAGGCGGCAUCCUGGACCGGCAUUGACGCUGAGGCGCGAAAGCCAGGGGAGCAAACGGG
This 253-nucleotide ribosomal RNA is filed under the name uncultured bacterium. Its description in RNAcentral is "partial 16S ribosomal RNA". It matches the Rfam family "Bacterial small subunit ribosomal RNA", at positions 524 to 776 of the family's 1533-position model. The record is from RNAcentral.